UUAACAAAAACAUGUCUUUUUGAGUUAUUUUUAAAGUCUGACCUGCCCACUGAAAUUAUUUAAAUGGCCGCAGUAUUCUAACUGUGCAAAGGUAGCAUAAUCAUUAGUCUUUUAAUUGAAGGCUGGUAUGAACGGUUGGACGAGGUAUAAGCUGUUUCAUAUAAAUUUAUAAUAGAACUUUAUAUUUUAGUCAAAAAGCUAAAAUUUAAUUAAAAGACGAGAAGACCCUAUAAAUCUUUAUAUUUUAAGUUGUUUAAAUUUUUUAGAUUAAUUUUAUUUUUAUAAUUUAGAGUAUUUUGUUGGGGUGAUAUUAAAAUUUAAUGAACUUUUAGUUGUUAAAAAUCAUUAAUUUAUGAGUUAUUGAUCCAUUAAUAGUGAUUAUAAGAUUAAGUUACUUUAGGGAUAACAGCGUAAUUUUUUUGGAGAGUUCAUAUCGAUAAAAAAGUUUGCGACCUCGAUGUUGGAUUAAGAUAUAUUUUUAGGUGUAGCCGCUUAAAUCUUAAGUCUGUCCGACUUUUAAAUUCUUACGUGAUCUGAGUUC
This 541-nucleotide ribosomal RNA is filed under the name Bactrocera aquilonis. RNAcentral describes it as "partial 16S ribosomal RNA". It matches the Rfam family "Bacterial large subunit ribosomal RNA", at positions 1804 to 2612 of the family's 2925-position model. Lineage: Eukaryota; Metazoa; Arthropoda; Insecta; Diptera; Tephritidae. The record is from RNAcentral.